UCCAGGGUAGCCUAGUGGACAGGCACCUGCCCGGUAAGCGGAACACUGUGGGUUCGAUUCCCAUCCCUGGAA
Non-coding RNA from Cordylochernes scorpioides, 72 nucleotides. Lineage: Eukaryota; Metazoa; Arthropoda; Arachnida; Pseudoscorpiones; Chernetidae. The record is from the annotation of a GenBank genome assembly.